RNAcentral lists this long non-coding RNA (946 nucleotides) under Heterocephalus glaber (naked mole-rat). RNAcentral's name for it is "lncRNA (ENSHGLG00000029576.2)". The record is from RNAcentral. Lineage: Eukaryota; Metazoa; Chordata; Mammalia; Rodentia; Bathyergidae.
GGAAGAGGAAUAAAGACCACAGAGACUACAAACUGAUGGCUUUAAGGUGUUACCUCUGCCCAGGAAACUGACUCCGAAAUGAUUGCAGGCUGCUCUGCAAGGUCCCACGGCUCGUCCCUAGAAAAACACUGGAAGCAAAUCAGAAAACACUGUCUCAUGACUGUUUAAGAACUGGAAUAGUCUAUAUUCUCCUCAGACAAACAGACCUGGAAGAAUCCCAGAGAACAAUGGUGUUACCUUCAUAUGGGGGACCCUAGAGGAUGUCGUGGACUGAAGAAGACCUACUACACCCCCGGCCCUCAGAGAAGAAACUGAAGAUGCCUGUGCAGCCAUCUCAAUGGCCAAGGCCACCCAAGCAGCGGUUCACUGAAUUCCUAGACGUCUGGAAGCUCACGGACACCACACUGAGCACCUCUUGCAAUUGUAGAGGCAAAGGAACAUCUCUCAUCUAUCAGGAAGUGCUUUCAUCUUCAACCAAAGGAAAAGAUCACAUGAGGAGUGAUGGCAAAGCACGGCCAGGGGAGGAAUUUCACAUGACGUGCAGAUGCUGGAGGAUGACGACACAUACUGGAGCUCACAGGAAUCGUGAGGUCCAGCGCAUCACACCUGUCUCUACGUUGUGCUUUCUGGUUCCUAGAAACAAAUACGUGUCUUGUUGUGCUAAACUUCGUCUUUUUCAACUUUACACCAUGCAUCUUGGUUUCCCUUGUACAAAAUACUAUGGAUAUAAUUCGAAGUCGACUUACUUUACCUUGUUGCAGGAUUAAUUUUAAACACAGAAUUCACAUUUCUGUUUGGAGAGUCAAAUGAAAGUCUCAUGAUCAUCAUUAUACUAAUGCAUGAAUGCAGCUGUCCAAUAACCAAGCAGGUAUUUGUCUAGUUUCUAUUCCAUUUAUUAGACUGCAAGAAAAAGAAGCAUUAAUCUACCUCUAGUGAUAUUGACAAG